This 22-nucleotide microRNA is filed under the name Euprymna scolopes. Its description in RNAcentral is "Esc-Mir-315_5p (mature (co-guide))". Lineage: Eukaryota; Metazoa; Mollusca; Cephalopoda; Sepiida; Sepiolidae. The record is from RNAcentral. RNAcentral also lists the same sequence under 2 other names.
UUUUGAUUGCUGCUCAGCAAGC